AUUUAAGUAGUUUAAAAAAAUAUUGAUUUGUGGAGUCAAAGAUGUAGUGAUACUUUAAAUAAU
This 63-nucleotide transfer RNA is filed under the name Cheironitis sp. MJTNT-2012. Its description in RNAcentral is "tRNA-His". Lineage: Eukaryota; Metazoa; Arthropoda; Insecta; Coleoptera; Scarabaeidae. The record is from RNAcentral.